UUAUCACGUGACAUGAUGCUGAUUAAUGUAUGACCACACGUGUGUGACCGCCUUUUUCAAACGCGGAAAUUGUAUAAUUUUCCUGGACAAUAUUUAGGACCAUUUUCAGCAAAGAAGAAUUCAUAGAAAUGUAUUAGAGACAGAACAGUAACGUAAGAAAGGGACAGAUCAGUAACUUAGGAAAGAAAGAUUUAAGGAUAAAAGUAAUAGCUGUCAAGGAAGAGUAAUGGAGGCCUACACAAAGAUAACAGAAGCUGAAUUAAAGAAGGAUUGUGCACCAGAAAUGGUUGGAUGAGUUUAGAGACUACAAUUCAUUUGCACGAAAAUAAUAAAAAUUGAUUAAGAGA
Mytilus californianus (California mussel) is the source of this 347-nucleotide long non-coding RNA. RefSeq lists it as uncharacterized. The transcript is spliced from 3 exons. The record is from RefSeq and is a predicted model, not a curated record. NCBI's taxonomy places the organism in Eukaryota, Metazoa, Mollusca, Bivalvia, Mytilida, Mytilidae.